Molecule: ribosomal RNA, 463 nt
Filed under: uncultured bacterium
Lineage: Bacteria
Description: partial 16S ribosomal RNA
Rfam family: Bacterial small subunit ribosomal RNA
Source: RNAcentral
GACGAACGCUGGCGGCGUGCUUAACACAUGCAAGUCGAGCGGAAAGGCCACUUCGGUGGUACUCGAGCGGCGAACGGGUGAGUAACACGUGAGUAAUCUGCCCCUCACUUUGGGAUAGCCACCGGAAACGGUGAUUAAUACCGGAUAUGACCAUAUGUCGCAUGGCGUGUGGUGGAAAGUUUUUCGGUGAGGGAUGUGCUCGCGGCCUAUCAGCUUGAUGGUGUGGUAAUGGCUUACCAUGGCUUCGACGGGUAGCCGGCCUGAGAGGGUGACCGGUCACACUGGGACUGAGACACGGCCCAGACUCCUACGGGAGGCAGCAGUGGGGAAUAUUGGACAAUGGGCGGAAGCCUGAUCCAGCAACGCCGCGUGAGGGAUGACGGCCUUCGGGUUGUAAACCUCUUUCAGUACCGACGAAGCGCAAGUGACGGUAGGUACAGAAGAAGCACCGGCCAACUACGUG